Molecule: long non-coding RNA, 300 nt
Filed under: Nicotiana benthamiana
Lineage: Eukaryota; Viridiplantae; Streptophyta; Magnoliopsida; Solanales; Solanaceae
Description: long non-coding RNA (NBEN_LNC033407)
Source: RNAcentral
GGAUGUAUGCCUAAUGUUGCUACCUUUAACGUUAGAAUUCAAUUCUUAGUAAAUGUGGGGCUUGCUUGGGAAGCUAAUAAAUUGUUGCUGUUAAUGAAACAUAUUGGGAUAACUCCUGAUGAGGUUACCUACAAUUUAGUGAUCAAAGGCUUUUGCCGAGCAGAGAAUCUGAUGAAAUGUAUUGGGAUAACUCCUGAUGAGGUUACGUACAAUUUAGUGAUCAAAGGCUUUUGCCGAACAGAGAAUCUUGAUAUGGCAAAAAGAAUCUAUUCCGCUUUAUGUGGUGCAGGCUUCAAGCCA